CGUCUCUCCCCGCCCCCGACACACAAGGGGUACAGGAGUCUUUUAAAGAGAUUUAUUGUGCCUGCUGCCACCUUGUUGGUACCCUUUUACGUGUUGGCUAAGCAGAAAGGAGUCAGUGAAAAGGAAAUUGGACCACAGGCUUCUCUGGUGGCGCAGUGGUUGAGAGUCCGCCUGCCGAUGCAGGGGACGCGGGUUCGUGCCCCGGUCCGGGAGGAUCCCACAUGCCGCGGAGCAUCUGGGCCCGUGAGCCAUGGCCGCUGAGCCUGCGCGUCCGGAGCCUGUGCUCCGCAACGGGAGAGGCCACAACGGUGAGAGGCCCGCGUACCGAAAAAAAAAAAAAAAAAAAAAAAAUCGUUUCUAAUCAUUUAUAACACAUUCACAUGGUUUAAAAUUUAAAAAGUACAGUGGUAUAUGCUAUGAAAAAUCUCUCUUCCACCUCAGUCCCUGAGACACCCAAAUCUACUCAUGGCAACAAAUGACAUUAAUUUUUAUACAUCCUUCAUGCGUGUACAAAUAUAUACACACCCACAUACCCUUUGAAGACCUUUUUAUAUAUAAAGGGCUUCCUCAGUUUUUUAUAUAGCUAUGUGGUAUUACAUUGUAUAGACAUGCCUUUAUUUAAUCAGUCACCUGAUUUGUUUAGUCAGACCUUUAGAGUGUUUCUAAUUCUUCCUCUAAAAAUAAUCUGCUAAGAGUAACCUCAAAUAUACAUUAUUUUGCUGAUAUGUGGGUAAUCUAUGGAAUAAAUUCCUAAAAGUGGAGUUGUGGGUCAAAUUUUUCACAGGUUAGGUUUUCUGGGAAGCAGAUUCUGGGACAGAAAUUUAGAGUUCAAGGUGUUUGUUUAUUAAGGAGUGCCCUUGGGUUCAACAUCUGCGGAAGGGAGAAGGAGGAAGUGGGAUUGAGCAGAAGGAGAAGUUGAGCUUUGAAGGUGCCCCAUGCAGCCUCAGCCAAACCCCACAGGGGAGCUGUGGAGCUGAAAUGACCUACCAGAAUUGGCCCACAUUGGGUGGAAAAGGCUUUUAUACCCCUUCCUCCAUCAGUGGGCUGCCCCAAGAAGGCACUGACUUUAGAUGGGGCAACUCUUUGCAGCCGAGGCAAAACUUGCAAGGGCUGACAGUUGAAGAUUGUCAGCUGACAGAUCUUCCGGCAGCUGGGACAAGACCUUCCUUGAAAGGGGAUAUCUGGGAGGCUCAUCUCCAUGUCCAACCGAAAAGGGUAUGUGACUUUGGUAGAUUUUGCCAAAUUGCCAUACCAAUUUAUACUUCCACCAGCAACAUAUGAGAAUGGCUGUUUACCCAUAUCCUCCCCAACACAGAAUUUUAUCAAACUUCUGGAUCUUUGCCAAUCUGAUUAGGUGAAACAUGAUGUCUUGGUAUAGGUCUAAUUUUCUUUUCUUUUAUUCUGAGGGAAGUUCAACUUCUUUUUGUCCUUUUUUUUUCUUUCCUUUGAACUAUCUGUUUAUAUCCUUUGCAUAUUUUCCUACUGGGAUAAUUUUUUUUUUUAAGUAAUUUGUAGGAACUCUUAGUGUUAAAGAAAUUAGCCAUACUCUCGCCACAUACCCUCCCAAUAUAACCAUAUGUCAAUAAUAUUUGAUUAAAUUAACAUUUUGUGUUUCCAUCAUUAUGACCUUUCCUUUCUUAUAUCAUUUCUGGUUUGUUUGGGUUUUUUUUUAAGAUGUUGGGAGUAGGAGUUUAUUAAUUAAUUUAUUUAUUUUUGCUGUGUUGGGUCUUCGUUUCUGUGCGAGGGCUUUCUCUAGUUGUGGCAAGCGGGGGCCACUCUUCAUCGCGGUGCACGGACCUCUCACUAUCACGGCCUCUCUUGUUGCGGAGGACAGGCUCCAGACGCGCAGGCUCAGUAGUUGUGGCUCACGGGCCUAGUUGCUCCACGGCAUGUGGGAUCUUCCCAGACCAGGGCUCGAACCCGUGUCCCCUGCAUUAGCAGACAGAUUCUCAACCACUGCGCCACCAGGGAAGCCCCAUUUCUGUUUUU
Long non-coding RNA from Orcinus orca (killer whale), 1989 nucleotides. RefSeq lists it as uncharacterized. The record is from RefSeq and is a predicted model, not a curated record. The transcript is spliced from 2 exons. Lineage: Eukaryota; Metazoa; Chordata; Mammalia; Artiodactyla; Delphinidae.